AACGCACAUUGCGCCCGCCAGCAUUCUGGCGGGCAUGCCUGUUCGAGCGUCAUUUCAACCCUCGCAGCCCCUCUGGGCAGCGGUGUUGGGGACCGGCACAACUGGCGCGCCCCCGUGGCGCCCGGCGCCGCCCCCGAAAUACAGUGGCGGUCCCGCCGCAGCCUCCCUUGCGUAGUAGCACACCUCGCACCGGAGCGCGGCGCGGCCAUGCCGUAAAACCCCCGACUUUCUGAGUUUGACCUCGAAUCAGGUAGGAAUACCCGCUGAACUUAAGCAUCUCA
RNAcentral lists this unclassified non-coding RNA (281 nucleotides) under uncultured Eucasphaeria. RNAcentral describes it as "sequence contains ITS2". Lineage: Eukaryota; Fungi; Ascomycota; Sordariomycetes; Hypocreales. The record is from RNAcentral.